AAUCGAACCCGGUACCGUUAAUAUAUAUAAAAAAAUCCUAAUAAUACUUUCUGCAAAAAAAAACAAAAAAAAUACUUAAUAGAAAAAUUUGUCAAAAACCCUUCACUAUUCACACAGUGCAAACGAUCUGCUUCUUGACAACGAGAGAACAAUCCUCUUCUUCUUUUUCUGCAAAUAAUAAUCCCUCUACAAUCAAACUCAUUCUUUCUCUUCGAACUUCGUUAAUGUUCCUCAUCACACCUCCAAUUCCAAUUUCGAUUCUUACGACUCAGACUUCAGAGACGAUUUUGGCACGCAACAAUCGUGUUUUCUUCUUCGCUCCUCAGAAUCGUGACUCAAACCCGAACAUAAUCAGCAUGUCUUCGUUCCUCAGAAUCGUGACUUCUAACCACCAAACAGUUUCAGCUUCCAAUCAGUAAUGAGAAAGUGCGCCAUGUAAAUCAAGCUAACCACCAUAUGUACCUUUUCCUAGGAAUUGGUUCAGGAACAAUUAUGGUAGGUGCCCAUCUUAUUACAUGGAAUGUUGCAGACAGUUGCUAAGCGGAUGCAUCUGAAGUUGCAGAGGACAUUAAGGUUUUAACUUGGAAAUGGAGUGCUCAUAAAUUGAAGAUCGCCCCGUGUUUAUAUUACGAAUGGACUUGGGACCCAGGUAUUUGUUUUGAGCGCUGAUGAGCUCUGCUGAUUUUUUUUAGCUGCCUUGACAGUCUUGUGGUUUUUUGCUAUCAGAAGAGACUGACUUUUGCUGCUACUGGUUUUUCUCUCUUUCUGUUUGGUGUGUUUUGUGGGAGUGGACUUGGUUUUAUUGUUUUGUGUUUCAAUUCUUGUUGGUUUCUAUCAUUUUAUCUUGUUUUUUGGUGUUGGUGGGCAUUUGUUUGUUUUUAGGUGUUCUCUACUGCUUGUUUUCCAUGUUCUACCUUGUAUCUCCAAUUUAUGGUACUUCUUAUACUAUGUUGGCUUAUAAUAAAGUUUUGUUGAUUCAAAAAAAAAUGCACAUGUUGACCAUAACCAUUGUUUUACAAUCUUAAGCAGGUUUUUUUUUCUUUUUCAGUUGACUAAUCUAAUUGGUCAGCUGCUUGAUCUGGGAGGCCUACAAUAUUUAGCAGUUGCAGCCUGAGGUGUGGGUCUGCUGUGUAUUUAGUAGAUUGGAGGCUUGGUUUGAUGUUUAAAGACAUUUUGAGGUGGAUCAUUGUAAGUGUCAUUGCCCCUUGUUUCUUGCUUGUCGGCUGAAUGGUAUGUUUGGCAUUAGGCAAUCUCUUACUGUUUGGAGCUUUGCGAUGUUGUCUAGCUUUGCGAUGCUUGUGACUGUCUAGAGUUUUGUGUAGUUUCCUCUGCUGCUGUGUUAUCUUGCAGGGGUUGUUCAUUGGUUUUUAGUAGGAUGAACUUGUGUUAUUUUUGUUUUCAUCUACAAUGCUAAAACGUGUCCUCUUAGGAAGUUAUUUGUGUAAGUUUUGCACAUGAUCAAUUAAUUUUAACUUAAUUAUAUUUUAUGCCUCAAACUAUAUUGAACUUUAUUAAUAUUUUAGUUAGGGAUUUUUAAUAUUCUUUCCAUUUUUUAGAACAGGACAUUUUCUCAAGCAUGGUUUAUCUCUUCAUGGGUUCCAAAUGUCAUUGUUACUAAGAAGUAAGAAAACAGAAAAUCCACCUCAAGCAUUAAGUAAGAAGCAAUUGUUGAUGAGAGAUUUGAGGUAUCUCUUAUUUUACUCUUCUUAUUUUAAUUAUCAUUUGAUUGUGGUAUUAUAUUGCUAUUGCAAGUUUGUACGUAGUUUAAUAAUGAUUAAAAGUUUUGUAACAUUGUUGAUAAUGGCAUGUGUUAAGUUAAGAGACAAGGUUUGGUGACAUUUCUUAUCUCUUUCUCCUUGUCUUAGUGUUGUUUAAUACUUGUGAAUGUUACUUUUGUUUCUGAGUGUGAGUA
Long non-coding RNA from Trifolium pratense (red clover), 1912 nucleotides. RefSeq lists it as uncharacterized. The record is from RefSeq and is a predicted model, not a curated record. The transcript is spliced from 5 exons. Lineage: Eukaryota; Viridiplantae; Streptophyta; Magnoliopsida; Fabales; Fabaceae.